Molecule: long non-coding RNA, 781 nt
Filed under: Prunus dulcis (almond)
Lineage: Eukaryota; Viridiplantae; Streptophyta; Magnoliopsida; Rosales; Rosaceae
Description: sRNA ncRNA
Source: RNAcentral
GUACGACUGAGGCUUCAUCAUCUCGACCUAAUAGACAGCGUCCCACAGCCUUAACGAUGAGACAUAAAGCGGUGAGGUUAGCUCCUUAAGAGGACCAGCCCCAGCAUGGUCCCCUAGACCACUUUAAGGAUACUACAGAGCUUGAAGAUGUAGCUGCUACUCAUGAUAGUACUUUUGACACAGAGAUUGAAGAUGUAGUUGCUACGCAUGAUAGUAAUGUUGACGCAAAGGUUGAAGAUGUAGGUGCUACUCAUUAUAGUAAUGUUGAGGUAGAUGUCUAGCCUACUGAGCCAUCUCGAGUAGGUUCCAUUGAUCAAUCUUUACUUACGAGUUUUAAAAUUCACAUAGCAGCUGCAAUUUGGAAUAACCAGGUAAGUCGUUUUACUGUAACAAUAGAAAGUAGAAUAUAAGUCUUGUUCAUGGUAAUUAACCUAAAUAUUAUUUUUGUAUUUGACUAGGAACGUGAGCUCCUUAGGUGCAUGUCAAAGGCAUCUACCCUUCAUGAGUGGAAUUAGUGGGCUAAUCCAAAUAAUAGUAUAUUCAAAUGGUACAUUCAGAUGUCUGAAUUAGAGCAAGGUGUUCUUAUCGGAAUGCAGAUAAGAUUGUUGUAUCUACCUUCAUUGAGAGGUGGCAUCCCGAAACGAACAUCUUUCACAUGUCUUUUGGUGAGAUGACCAUCACAUUGGAUGAUAUGUCAUUUAUUUUAAAGGCGUCACCAUGUUUUUGUUCAUUCAAUGGGAGUAAGGUCAAAAUAGCUUACAUUAAAUUUGUGGUCGACAAU